RNAcentral lists this transfer RNA (75 nucleotides) under Armatimonadota bacterium. Its description in RNAcentral is "Armatimonadetes bacterium (rhizosphere metagenome) tRNA-Ile". It matches the Rfam family "tRNA". From Rfam's summary of the family: Transfer RNA (tRNA) molecules are approximately 80 nucleotides in length. Their secondary structure includes four short double-helical elements and three loops (D, anti-codon, and T loops). Lineage: Bacteria; Bacillati; Armatimonadota. The record is from RNAcentral.
CGUGGCGUAGCCAAGUCUGGUCAAGGCACACGGCCCAUAACCGUGCAUCCGCUGGUUCAAAUCCAGCCGCCACGA